CGCGCAGGCGGUUUCUUAAGUCUGAUGUGAAAGCCCACGGCUCAACCGUGGAGGGUCAUUGGAAACUGGGGAACUUGAGUGCAGAAGAGAAAAGCGGAAUUCCACGUGUAGCGGUGAAAUGCGUAGAGAUGUGGAGGAACACCAGUGGCGAAGGCGGCUUUUUGGUCUGUAACUGACGCUGAGGCGCGAAAGCGUGGGGAGCAAACA
Molecule: ribosomal RNA, 207 nt
Filed under: uncultured bacterium
Lineage: Bacteria
Description: partial 16S ribosomal RNA
Rfam family: Bacterial small subunit ribosomal RNA
Source: RNAcentral